RNAcentral lists this ribosomal RNA (449 nucleotides) under uncultured bacterium. Its description in RNAcentral is "bacterial SSU rRNA". It matches the Rfam family "Bacterial small subunit ribosomal RNA", at positions 28 to 496 of the family's 1533-position model. The record is from RNAcentral.
GACGAACGCUGGCGGCGUGCCUAACACAUGCAAGUCGAGCGAUGAAGCCCUUCGGGGUGGAUUAGCGGCGGACGGGUGAGUAACACGUGGGUAACCUGCCUUGUAGAGGGGGAUAACAGCCGGAAACGGCUGCUAAUACCGCAUAAGCGCACAGAGGCGCAUGCUUCAGUGUGAAAAACUCCGGUGGUAUAAGAUGGACCCGCGUUGGAUUAGCUAGUUGGCAGGGCAGCGGCCUACCAAGGCGACGAUCCAUAGCCGGCCUGAGAGGGUGGACGGCCACAUUGGGGACUGAGACACGGCCCAGACUCCUACGGGAGGCAGCAGUGGGGAAUAUUGCACAAUGGGGGAAACCCUGAUGCAGCGACGCCGCGUGAAGGAAGAAGUAUCUCGGGUAUGGUAAACUUCUAUCAGCAGGGAGAUAGUGACGGUACCUGACUAAGAAGCCCCGG